RNAcentral lists this long non-coding RNA (293 nucleotides) under Trifolium pratense (red clover). Its description in RNAcentral is "long non-coding RNA (TPRA_LNC004136)". The record is from RNAcentral. Lineage: Eukaryota; Viridiplantae; Streptophyta; Magnoliopsida; Fabales; Fabaceae.
GAGAAAGAGUGAGAGCGUACGAGAGAGGAGGGGGGGGAAGAGAGAGAGAGAGAGAAAUUUGACAAAUGAAAAAAUGUUUCCAUAAACUACUUGUGCCAAUUGUUUCUAUAAACCAGCAAUCUCAAAACCAGCCAGUUGUUUGCAGGCAAAGAAUUAUAUUAAGCCAUCUGUAAGAUGGUAUAUGAAUAUAAACCUAAACCUAGAAUGAAUGUGAAGAUUGAAACCUAGAGAUGUCAAGAUAUGAUUGGCCAAUAUACAAAGGUGUAAAGGGUUCAUUGGGCAAGGGAUUAGGG